Molecule: long non-coding RNA, 922 nt
Organism: Vespula pensylvanica (western yellowjacket)
Lineage: Eukaryota; Metazoa; Arthropoda; Insecta; Hymenoptera; Vespidae
Exons: 2
Source: RefSeq, a predicted model, not a curated record
UAUCGGAACUGGAAAGGCUUUAGGAAAAUUUGGUGUCUCUAUGAUUCCUUUUGGAGCGGUCAGAUGAUAAUUGCAAUCUACGUUUGCAGUUGACGCUCCGAUUAUAGUCGAUGAACAGAGAUAAAAGAAAAGGAUGAGUCCUACGUAAAAGAACAUGAAAGUGUAGGAAUAUAACUCGUCUCGAAGCAAAGGAAAAUGAUCGUCGAUGACGUGUCAAAAGACUCUAAAGAAAACAAUGAGCUUUCAGAGAUAAUGACCAAGCUGAAAACGAAUUUAGAGGUCGGAGAUGCGUUUGAUACGAGCCACGAACGAGAAGCCACAAUUUACAGGGUAGCUGGGCGUUAGUCCCUUCCGUAUCUCUGAGCUUUCCGUGCGCAAGCUCUUCUUCGACCCCCGACCAAGCAUCCCUCUUUCCACCACUAUAUAUAUCUCGACCGAGUUGAGUCGCGAAUUUUGCUGAAACACGAGCAUUCCAAUUCGAGCCCGUAUUGUGAAUACAUGUAGUAGGUAUUUCUCGAAAUUUAUUGCUCAAUCGACAUUACAUCUAUUUUUAAUUAACUAACUUCUAUUAGAAAAUAUACACGACCAAUAAAUAGAUUUUACGGAUAAUACGGUUUAGAGGUAAAUAAAUGAGACCAAGCUAUUACUAAAUAGUAUUUAUUUGUGUAAUUAGAAACUCUAUGAUAGUCUUUGAACUAAAAACGUAUUAUCUUGAUCAUCGAUUAUGAAUUUUUCAUUUUGCGUAAAUUAAUUGAUAGAUGCUAUUUCGAUUUCAACACUCAUAUCGUCGGGAAGUUCGAUAAAUAUGUAUCGCCCACUAUAUUUUGCAUUUUGUACAUUUCCGUGUAUUUCUUAUCCUAAGUAGCAUGCCGUACGAUGUCACUCGUUUAAUCUACGCCGAUUAAAAAAAAGUCCUUACGCA